This 350-nucleotide long non-coding RNA is filed under the name Trifolium pratense (red clover). Its description in RNAcentral is "long non-coding RNA (TPRA_LNC006369)". Lineage: Eukaryota; Viridiplantae; Streptophyta; Magnoliopsida; Fabales; Fabaceae. The record is from RNAcentral.
UUCCAGAUUAGCGAUGAUUGCCUUCUGCUCCUCAAUUGUUUUCAACCCUUCUUCACACUUAACACCAAUCUCAGAGAUUUUUGUUAGAUUGACAAUUCUUUUAGUUUGCAACUUUGAGAUUGUCUCCUUUUGUUUUUCUGAGAUUCUGCAGACUUCUUCACUCCUUAGACACAGCUCCUUGUAUGAUUCAGCAAGUUCAUCAAAGGUCAGCUCUUCAUCACAUGAUUCAGUGUCAGAUGUGCAUACACCUGUCAGUGCAUGAAUAGACUUUGCAGUAUCAGUUUCUCCUUCAGAAUCCUCAUCUGACCAUGAAACAGUUGACCCCUUUUUCUGUUUCUUCAAGAAGGUUG